Papaver somniferum (opium poppy) is the source of this 2611-nucleotide long non-coding RNA. RefSeq lists it as uncharacterized. The record is from RefSeq and is a predicted model, not a curated record. The transcript has 8 exons. NCBI's taxonomy places the organism in Eukaryota, Viridiplantae, Streptophyta, Magnoliopsida, Ranunculales, Papaveraceae.
CAUUAAAAUCUCUCUCACUCUCUCAGACAGAACUCUGGAGAAAAAAACUCUUCCGCCAUUGUAACUAGAGGAAGCUAGGGUUUGAAUCGAUUGAUGAUGCUUUUGCUGUUAGGGUUUGAUAAUUAGGGUUUGGAUUAUUCUCCAACGAGAAGGCUCGAUUAAUUCUGCUUUUCUCUUCUAUCUUCUUCUCCUCUUUCCUCGUAUUCUUCAUCUUCGUCUUGCCUCUGCAUGAACAGAGAAUUAUUUAAAGAGAGAUUAAUAAGUCAGAAAGGUUGAUGAGAUUGUGAGUCUGAUUUGGUUAGGGUUAUUGUGGAUUGAAGAAAGGAAAAUCAUUAAGAAAUUAGGGUUCUGUUGCGUUGAUGAUAGAUUGAUUAAGAAACUGAGCUAUUAGGUUUUAGGUCUGAGAUUAGGAAGUUAAUUGAGAAAGUAAGGUUUACAUGAGUUGCGAUUUGAAUAGGGUUUGUUUGAAUUGAGGUUUAAAUUUUUUUAAUUAUUGGAUUCGAACUCCAUGGAUUAGGGUUCUUGAUAGAACCGUGAUUUAGGGUUCAUGGGUUUGAAUUUUACAUGAAGGAGAUGGAAUUGAUGGUGAGAAAUUAAAAGAGGUAGAUUUCUGAAUCAAAUCAAGUAAAGAGGAAUCUGAAUCAAUUGGUGAACUUAUAUUGAGAUGGAGUUGAGUUCUAUAGUGGUAGUUUUGUAUCAAGGAUUGUGUGUAUUGGUGGUGGUGGAUAUGAAAGUUACAGGUGGUGAACUAUUGUUGGUAUUGUAGAUUUCAGAUGGAAGGAAUAUGCAGAGUCGGGGUGAUGUUGUUGGUUUUACAACUCCAGCAGAGACUAAAAAGAGAAGAUUCUGUGUGUUGCCUGAGUUGAGGUAGAUGAAUGGUGUAGGAAAUAUGUGGUUUUGAAAUGGUUAAGCUGAUAAUGGUGCUGGAGCUAGCCAUGAUUGGGUUCUGUUGGUGCUUGUGGUCCUGUAAUGCCAAGAAUAUAGAUAGAAGUGUUGAACUACAGAUGAACUUGGUGAUAGCAACAAAAUGAUUGUGACUGGUCUUUAUUUUAGAUUUGUUUGUUUUCUAUAUAUUUUGUAUAUGUAUGUGUACAUGAUAUGUGUUCUUAUACAGGUUUUGCAGGAUUUGCAAAUAUUAUGCAUGGGGACUGCACCAAAUAUCUAAGGCUGUGAGAUUUUUGGACAAUGACUGCAAGCUAGUAAGUGAUUUGUAAAGUUAUGGAGCUACUACAGAUGGGACAACAUCAACAUCAAUUACAGCAGCUUCAGCCAAUUUCAGAAAGAAGUUAAGGUAAUGAGUGGUACAAAUCCAGGUUACUGGGUUUAUGGAAACAAUAAUGGCAAGAGCAGUGGAAGUCAGUUUGUGGAUCAGCAGAAUGCAUGUUGUGUGCCUCACCAGUUUGUGGAUGGUAAAGAAGAGAAGAUUAGGAAGAAAAGGGUCAGUUUCUUAGACCCUUUGAGCAUAAUCUGAUACAUGCUCUACUUGUUUGUAUUUUCAUUUUCAUGUAUGUGCAUUAUACGAAGAAGCAGAUCAGAUUACACUUGAUAUUCAAAAGAAGAUGAACAUUGAGCAAGAGAAGGGUAAGGAGAUGGAAAAUUAUUCAUGCUAUGUGAAAGUUUGAUUUCAUAGCAGAUGGGUUUUUUGUUUUGAGUUUCGUAUGCUAUGUGUUUGCCACCCGCAUAAGAAGAAGAUAUCGUACCUGAAGAAAGAACUGUUUGGAGAGGGGAGAUACGAGGAGACUAUGAGAUUGAUUGAUCUGAUGGAGAAGAGGGUGGUUAUGGCAGAGUCGAUUCUGGAGGCUUAGCGAACUAUAGAGUUUUUGGGUAUUGGGAAUUCUGCUAAGUAUAGCUACUCUCCAUCCUUCAGGGGCGUAACGUUGUAUUAGAACAAAGCUUUGGUGCAGUUAAAGUGACUAAAGAUGGUGUCAUUGUUGCUGAAAGCAUUGAGUUUAAGGACAAAGUUAUUGACAUUGUUGCCAUCCUUGUAAAGCAAGCAGCAAAUGCCACCAAUAAUGUAGCUGUUGAUGGCGACCAACAAGAACUGGUUUUCUCAAGUUCAGUACAUCAGCCGAGGCUAAUGCCGCGAUGGAAGCUCCACACAUUAAUGGUGACUCGGAUUCUUCUGAAAAGCAGAAAACUAACUGUACUAUUUGUCUAACCUCACUGAUGCAGUCUAACCUCACUUAUGCAUUGUAUAUAGGAUCUCGAUUCGAAUAAAGGAAAACAAGUUAGAACUGCACUAUUUAAAUAUGCAACCAUAAAGAGUUGAAUACAGAUUUUGUUAGCCUCUGAAUUCCAUCUCAUUCUGCUUUUUGGUGGUUUUAUGGGAAAGAUUAUUGGGAACUAAGAAGCAUUCAAGUUGCACCUUCCAAGAUUUAGGAUUACUUAUGGCUUGCCGAGGAUGGCGUGAAAUUACAGGUUAGGAAUAGCUUUUGCUCUUUCUUGCUUCAUGUAUACCAAUAAUUGAACAUCUUGCUCCUGAAACACUAUUGUAGUGUAUCAACCCACCUAUUGAUUUGGUAUUAGUAAUAGUACUCUACCUGACAAUGUAAUAUUUAUCUUAAUGUUCACACAAAGAUGCUAAAAAGAUUAUGUUUUUGUUGUGUACCAA